This 1383-nucleotide ribosomal RNA is filed under the name Brenneria salicis. Its description in RNAcentral is "bacterial SSU rRNA". It matches the Rfam family "Bacterial small subunit ribosomal RNA", at positions 61 to 1434 of the family's 1533-position model. Lineage: Bacteria; Pseudomonadati; Pseudomonadota; Gammaproteobacteria; Enterobacterales; Pectobacteriaceae. The record is from RNAcentral.
GUCGGGCGGUAACACAGAGGAGCUUGCUCCUUGGGUGACGAGCGGCGGACGGGUGAGUAAAGUCUGGGGAUCUGCCUGAUGGAGGGGGAUAACUACUGGAAACGGUAGCUAAUACCGCAUGACGUCUUCGGACCAAAGUGGGGGACCUUCGGGCCUCACGCCAUGAGAUGAACCCAGAUGGGAUUAGCUGGUAGGUGAGGUAACGGCUCACCUAGGCGACGAUCCCUAGCUGGUCUGAGAGGAUGACCAGCCACACUGGAACUGAGACACGGUCCAGACUCCUACGGGAGGCAGCAGUGGGGAAUAUUGCACAAUGGGGGAAACCCUGAUGCAGCCAUGCCGCGUGUGUGAAGAAGGCCUUCGGGUUGUAAAGCACUUUCAGCGGGGAGGAAGGCAAUAAACUUAAUAAGUUUGUUGAUUGACGUUACCCGCAGAAGAAGCACCGGCUAACUCCGUGCCAGCAGCCGCGGUAAUACGGAGGGUGCAAGCGUUAAUCGGAAUGACUGGCCGUAAAGCGCACGCAGGCGGUCUGUUAAGUUGGAUGUGAAAUCCCCGGGCUCAUCCCGGGAACAGCAUUCAAAACUGACAGGCUAGAGUCUCGUAGAGGGGGGUAGAAUUCCAGGUGUAGCGGUGAAAUGCGUAGAGAUCUGGAGGAAUACCGGUGGCGAAGGCGGCCCCCUGGACGAAGACUGACGCUCAGGUGCGAAAGCGUGGGGAGCAAACAGGAUUAGAUACCCUGGUAGUCCACGCCGUAAACGAUGUCGACUUGGAGGCUGUGGUCUUGAACCGUGGCUUCCGGAGCUAACGCGUUAAGUCGACCGCCUGGGGAGUACGGCCGCAAGGUUAAAACUCAAAUGAAUUGACGGGGGCCCGCACAAGCGGUGGAGCAUGUGGUUUAAUUCGAUGCAACGCGAAGAACCUUACCUACUCUUGACAUCCAGAGAAGACUGUAGAGAUACGGUUGUGCCUUCGGGAGCUCUGAGACAGGUGCUGCAUGGCUGUCGUCAGCUCGUGUUGUGAAAUGUUGGGUUAAGUCCCGCAACGAGCGCAACCCUUAUCCUUUGUUGCCAGCGAUACGGUCGGGAACUCAAAGGAGACUGCCGGUGAUAAACCGGAGGAAGGUGGGGAUGACGUCAAGUCAUCAUGGCCCUUACGAGUAGGGCUACACACGUGCUACAAUGGCGCAUACAAAGAGAAGCGAGCCUGCGAGGGUGAGCGGACCUCAUAAAGUGCGUCGUAGUCCGGAUUGGAGUCUGCAACUCGACUCCAUGAAGUCGGAAUCGCUAGUAAUCGUAGAUCAGAAUGCUACGGUGAAUACGUUCCCGGGCCUUGUACACACCGCCCGUCACACCAUGGGAGUGGGUUGCAAAAGAAGUAGGUAGC